UACAGAGGUGGCAAGCGUUGUUCGGAUUCAUUGGGCGUAAAGGGUCCGUAGGCGGUUCGGAAAGUCGGAUGUGAAAUCCAACAGCUCAACUGUUGAACUGCAUUCGAAACUCCCGGGCUAGAGUGUGAGAGGGGUGAAGGGAAUUCCCGGUGUAAGGGUGAAAUCUGCAGAGAUCGGGAAGAAAACCAGUCGCGAAGGCGCUUCACUGGCUCAUUACUGACGCUGAGGGACGAAAGCUAGGGGAGCAAACAGG
Molecule: unclassified non-coding RNA, 253 nt
Filed under: uncultured bacterium
Lineage: Bacteria
Description: contains 16S-23S intergenic spacer region
Rfam family: Bacterial small subunit ribosomal RNA
Source: RNAcentral